RNAcentral lists this long non-coding RNA (1230 nucleotides) under Sus scrofa (pig). RNAcentral's name for it is "lncRNA (ENSSSCG00025048055.1)". The record is from RNAcentral. Lineage: Eukaryota; Metazoa; Chordata; Mammalia; Artiodactyla; Suidae.
UCAAAUAGUUGUGUGUGACUUUCUGGAAGUCGUAGGGGCGGUAUUAACUAAAGCCAGACGUGCAUGGUCUAUGUGUAACCAGCGCCACUUCUAGGUGGAGACCCAGCAGAAAUUGGUACCCAGGCUCCUCCAAACAUUUUCAGAGAACAUUUACAGAAACAGAACUCAUGAUGGGUCUAAGCUGGAAGCAGCCCAAAGGUCUUUCACUGGUCAACUGGACAAUACCGUGUGAGAUAUUUACAAAGCCGGCGAGGAUCCAGCAGUGAGUGAGAAGGAACUACGUUGACAGGAAACAGUGGGGAAGGAUUUCGCAGACAGUGCUGAGCAGAUGUGCAAAGGUUCACAUCCCGCAAGGUGUCCUCUGUAUGAAGUUCACGUGGUAAAGCUCUUCCUUGAGGCUGGAGGUCAGAGGGCGGUUACUUAAAGUCACGGAGGAGGUGACAGGCUUUGCAGUGCUGGCGAGCUCUGGACUGAGAGGUGGAGGGGGGCUCAGGAGAAGAAGGUCCACUGGUAAAAACACAUCACCAAGCUGUGCGCGAAAUCACAGGAGAACAUCUUUUUCUGCUAAGAUAACCUGGAGGAGAGAGAAAGAACGUGGCGACUGCUGCUGCUGCAGUAAGAUCCGCCCCCCAACACACACCCCCCUGCAUUUACCAAUCUUCAUUCUCCUUCCCGACACCUACUCUGCCCAAGUCUGAUCUUCCUCGGGAUUUCACUUGCGAGGAAGGUAAGAUUCCCAUUUGAAUGCUGCUUUGAAUGGAAAGUGCAAUCAGAUUUAAGAAUAUUUAAUGUGGCUGAAUUUUACAUUUGCUGACAAAAUAUGCUAAGUCAAAAGAAGAAUGUUGCAAGCUGUAGAUUACAAGAGCCUAACAUAUAGUAUUGUCUUUUUUUUUUUUUGGUCUUUUUAGGGCCGCACCCACAGCAUAUGGAAGUUCCCAGGCUAGGGGUCAAAUAGGAGCUGUGGCUGCUGGCCUACACUGCAGCCACAGCAACGCAUAUGCAACCUACACCACAGCUCAUAGCAACACUGGAUCUUGAACCCACUGAGAGAGGCCAGGGGUCGAAUCCACGUCCCCGUGGAUAUGAAUUGAGUUUGUUACCGCUGAGCCAAGUGUUGUCUUUUUAAUCUACACUCUGAGAAAUAUUUAAUAUGUAACUUUAUAUACAUAGUAUUGAUGUGAACAAACCCUUUUUGAACUAUGUAAAAUAUUCAUGACUUCAAAGACUUUC